RNAcentral lists this long non-coding RNA (887 nucleotides) under Gossypium barbadense (sea-island cotton). RNAcentral's name for it is "long non-coding RNA (GBAR_LNC008505)". The record is from RNAcentral. Lineage: Eukaryota; Viridiplantae; Streptophyta; Magnoliopsida; Malvales; Malvaceae.
GCCGAGUUUAUUGCCACGCUCUUAUUUUUACACAUCACUGUGUUGACAGUGAUCGGAUACAAGAGUCAGGUUGACCCUGAUAAGGGCAGUGACGAAUGCGGUGGUGUUGGCAUUCUUGGCAUUGCUUGGGCUUUUGGUGGGAUGAUCUUUAUCCUUGUUUACUGCACUGCUGGUAUCUCUGGUAAGUUUCGACUCUCUUCCCCUCAUGUGUUUGAUGAAAAAGGCCAUUUUUUUUCCAACUUCUUUUCGAAGUUGUUUUUCAUGGUUUACAGUAAUUGAGGUAAAAGAAAACCGGAUGAUGAUUUAGCAGAUGAGUAAUUGUUUAGCUGAAAUAAUGUGCAGGAGGACACAUCAACCCAGCAGUGACCUUUGGGCUUUUCUUGGCUAGGAAGGUGUCCUUAGUUCGAGCCAUAUUUUAUAUGGCUGCUCAAUGUUUGGGAGCCAUAUGUGGAUGUGGGCUAGUGAAGGCAUUCCAAAAGUCAUAUUACAACAAGUAUGGAGGAGGAGCCAACAGCCUCGCUGAUGGAUACAGCACUGGAACUGGUUUGGCAGCUGAAAUCAUUGGUACCUUUGUUCUUGUCUACACUGUUUUCUCUGCAACUGAUCCCAAGAGGAAUGCAAGAGAUUCUCAUAUCCCUGUAUGUGUUCAAUAGCUGCAAAUUUCGUAAUUAUUGCUCAAUUUCUUAAGUAUGUUCUUAGGUACUAAUUUUUCCAUUUUCUAAUUUAAGGUCUUGGCACCACUUCCUAUUGGAUUUGCUGUGUUCAUGGUUCACUUGGCAACUAUUCCAAUCACCGGCACCGGUAUCAACCCUGCUCGUAGUUUUGGGGCCGCUGUUAUCUACAACCAGGACAAGCCAUGGGAUGAUCAUGUAUGAACCUUAAACUUU